GGGGGGAGCAAGCGUUGUUCGGAUUUACUGGGCGUAAAGGGCGCGUAGGCGGCCACCGCAAGUCACUUGUGAAAUCUCCGGGCUUAACCCGGAAAGGUCAACUGAUACUGCGGGGCUAGAGUGCAGAAGGGGCAACUGGAAUUCUCGGUGUAGCGGUGAAAUGCGUAGAUAUCGAGAGGAACACCUGCGGCGAAGGCGGGUUGCUGGGCUGACACUGACGCUGAAGUGCGAAAGCUAGGGGAGCGAACGGGAUUAGAUACCCCGGUAGUCCUAGCCUUAAACGAUGAAUGCUUGGUGUCUGGGGUUUUAUAGUCCCCGGGUGCCGUCGCUAACGCUUUAAGCAUUCCGCCUGGGGAGUACGGUCGCAAGACUG
This 373-nucleotide ribosomal RNA is filed under the name uncultured bacterium. RNAcentral describes it as "bacterial SSU rRNA". It matches the Rfam family "Bacterial small subunit ribosomal RNA", at positions 527 to 896 of the family's 1533-position model. The record is from RNAcentral.